AUGGCCAGAGGGCCAAUUUACAUCUGGAAUGAGUGGGCAACACAAAUCCUCGUCCUACUUAGCUUUGCACUGCAGAUCUUCCUCUUUGUCUUCGCUAGGACCCGUCGAUGUGGAUCUUCCCCCUUGCUGAGGUUCCUCCUUUGGCUGGUCUACCUCAUGGCCGAUUCGACUGCUAUCUACACACUCGGGCAUCUUUCCAUCAAUGGCAUAUUGCACGAGCACGAGCUGGUGGUGUUCUGGGCGCCAUUCUUGGUCGUGCAUCUUGGUAGCCAAGACACCAUCACCGCCUACGCCCUCGAGGACAACCAGCUUUGGCCGCGCCAUCUGCUAAAUCUUGGCGUCCAAGCCUUUGGGGUUGCUUAUAUCCUAUACAAGCAUAUUGGACAUAUCUCCACCUCAUUGGGAUUGGCUACUUGCUUGAUAUUUGUCAUUGGUCUCAUCAAGUAUGGGGAGAGAAUAUGGGCUCUAAAGUGCGCCACCAUGGACGACAUCCGAAGCUCUAUCAAGAAGUGUGGGCUUCUCCCUACUUACUAUGGUGAUCUUCCGCCGCCCUCGGGAGCGAGCGCAGAAGAGCGGGACGAAGAAGAGCUUUUGUUGUUUGCCCAAGCCAUGCUCCCUCUUUGCAAGGGUGGGAUUAUUAAUUUUCCUGUGGUUUUAAUUUCUCAUCCACAUAAUUCUUCUUCCAACUUGAGCUGGUGUUGGAACUGGAACUGGAAGGCCACCUUUAAAGUGGUGGAGAUGGAGCUCUCCCUCAUGUAUGACAUCCUCUACACCAAGGCUGCAAUCAUCCACAGCUGGUAUGGCUACUGCAUCCGUGUCUUCUUGCCGUUCGGGACCGUUGCGGCAUUUGUAUUGUUUCAAGUAAGUGGUGAUAAAGACGGUUGCAGCAGAAUCGAUGUUGCUAUCACUUACAUCUUGUUGAUAGGUGCCUUCCUCCUAGACAUGUCGUCAAUGUUGAGUGCUUUGGUGUCGACUUGGACAUGUGGUUUCUUUUGGACUAGAAAUUGGAGGCUUGGUUGUGUCAUCAUGUCUCUCCGUCGGUAUUUCAAGGCUGCUACAGGAAAUAGAGGGUGGUCAGGCUCCAUUGGGCAGUUUAACUUGAUGCAUUUCUGCUCUCGUGACAAGAGCAAGCUAAGCAUUAGAGUGUCCAAGAUGAUGAGACUCGAGGAUAUGUGGAACAAAAGGCAUUAUUCUAAGACCCUAGUGAUCUCAGAGGAUGUCGAGGAGUUGGUGUUCAAGCAUGUAUGGCAACUAGUGAAGAAGAUUCAGCAUCCAAGAGCAGAAGAUGUGGAGGAGCCCAAGGCAAUGAUGCCAUCGAUUUCCGAACGCCUGGGCUUUCGUCCUGAAUUAUAUGAUGAUACUGCCAGGAGGCGUAAGAAAUUUGAUGAUGCUCUCUGCUUGAGCGAUGAACUCCAAGAGGUGAUCCUUACAUGGCACGUCUUUACAAAUGUUUUCAUCUUGUGCAGUGUUGCCCCUAAGGAUGCAUCAUUAUUUGCAUAUCUAAAGGCGGUCAAGGCGUUGUCAGAUUAUAUGGUGUUCCUCAUCGUUGUACGCCCUGACACCAUACCUGGUAUCGAGCUACGAAGCCUGUACGAAGCAACCCGUGACGCUCUCGAGGAAAUAUGGCGUACCAAUACCUAUGCAAUAAAAGAGAAGAAUCUUGCCAGCAUCCUGCAAAACAGUAAACAUAGUGAUCUUGGGAAGGCGAGCGUCAUCAUCUCGCACGGAACUUUGUAUGCCAAGCUACUGAUGGAUUUGGUAGAUACAAGCAAUCGCGACAAGUCCGGUGUCAUAUCGUCUUAUGAAGAUAUUGAUCAUGUCGCCAUGGGUAAACUGAAGCAUCUAAUGCUAGACCUGGAAUCCUCAUGCAAAGUUGGUGUCGUGUUUGAUAUGGCCAAAGCGUUGGCGCUCAUCUUGGAUACAUGGGUGCGUCUGCUCGUCUUGGCUUCCGUACGAUCCAGCGGCGAUGCCCAUGCAAGACAGAUCAACCGUGGAGGCGAGCUCACGACCGUUGUCUGGCUCAUGGAGGAACAUGCCAGCGUGUUUUUCAACCCACCCACCGCGGCCGGCUACGAGCGAUAUCGGUCUGAAGGCCGGUUCCAAUGGUACCGAUGCAGUGAUAUAUGCCGUCUCAAGCGUUCCAAUGGUGACAUGGAACAUUAG
Molecule: ribosomal RNA, 2163 nt
Filed under: Triticum aestivum (bread wheat)
Lineage: Eukaryota; Viridiplantae; Streptophyta; Magnoliopsida; Poales; Poaceae
Description: partial small subunit ribosomal RNA
Source: RNAcentral